Long non-coding RNA from Siniperca chuatsi (mandarin fish), 5598 nucleotides. RefSeq lists it as uncharacterized. Lineage: Eukaryota; Metazoa; Chordata; Actinopteri; Centrarchiformes; Sinipercidae. The transcript has 3 exons. The record is from RefSeq and is a predicted model, not a curated record.
CCUUUUAGCUUUGUGGACUCUGCCUGGCCCGGGCAGGAGUGUUGGUUUUUAUACCACUAGCACAGGAGCUUUGGACCGCCGGGAGGAGGAGGUUUUCUGGUCCGGGCUCCGAUCUCCUAGUCUGGGAAGAGUCAGCUAGCUAAUGGGACCGCUGGCUGCACAGCUAACUGAACUAACAGCAGCUAUGGUUAGCAGUAGUUAGCGGCUACUUUAGCAAAAAGUAAAGCCAUCUGUCCUGCAAGAAACUAAUGUUAACUUUCCUUCACAACCUCCAAAAACUUGAAGUGUAGUCCUGAGCAGAGUAGUCUCACGUAGCCGGACCUAUCUCCACACUUAGUGCUAUGAGAAGAGCGGUCUAAUACUGAGCGGGUGGAUGGGACUCUGUAUUUUGAGGGCAUACUGUGCGGGUGGUGAGUUGUGACAUCACAACCUUACAGAAGUCCUGAUGGCUUGUUUAAAAGAACAGUUUCUGAAUACAGGCCGUGUGCAUUUCUCGUGCAUUGCCGUGUGGAUUGAAUGUUUGAUGAUACUUUCAAAGAAUUUAUAUAGCACCUAGACCUGCUUUAUAAUCAAAAAAGACAUGGAAAUCUCACUUUCUACAAUAUGGGAACUUUAAUACCCCCUGCUUUAUCCAGCACCUGUUAAAAAUGUUGGAUUUGCGUCAUUCAUUUUCAAUAGUAAACCAAGUUUGAAAGGACCAAAUUCAAAGGCAAUUCAACACCUCAUGGAGGCUUAAAGUAAGAAAGAUGAUUCAUACAAGAAAUUGCAGCAGAGCUGUUAGAGUUAGGACGUGUGGUUACAAUAGGUGUGCUAGUGGAUUUAUUGGACUCUGUAUCCAAGAUUUUAAGUGAUCCAGUCUAUAAAACGUGCACUGCUAAUUGUCCCUUAAGAGGCAUUCUUUGCCAAUUCAUCUCUAUUGCUCAUGCAUAAGAUCCAAGACAAGAAUUAAUGCUGUUUACUGCUUCUCCCUGUGAAUCACAGUCCUACAGUUUUAUCCACUAUUUACUCUAAUUCUGUUUCAGAGUGAAAAACAAUCCAUAAUCUCUUCUCCUCCAUUUCUGCUUGCUUACAGAGUGCUAUAAUUAUUUUAGGUUCAUAGAAACACUUUAUUAGCUCUCUUCACACACUCAGUUGACAAGGGUGACAAAGAGUAUGGAAAUUUGAGCCAAAAUACAUAUAAUUGCUCACCUCGCCUCAUGCAAUCUUGAGAGAUAAACAAAAGAUAGAUCCAACUAUUCUGCUACUUCCAUCCUACUGUUCUAUUAUCCUACUUUCUUUCUGCUCCAGGAUCCAUCUUUGUAAAAACUUCUUAUCCCUGCGUUUUGAUCUUGAUCACACACAAAACAAACACAGCCCCCUGAUGACAUCAUCACACUAUGAACCCAUUCAUCAGGAUGACAGACAGCUGUCACCAGGAUGCCCAUCAGUUGAUGCUGGUGUGGUCACAGUGUCUCACCAAGCUGAACCAAAACACAGUGAUUGUCUAAGGUCACCACAGUCUUUUAACUAUCUCCAGUGCCAGCCAGUUUUCAUUCCCACUACUGGAGUAAGUCCCCAAGAUUAGGGCAACAGCAAAAUAUAAAGAAAGGGAAAUAAAUUGGAUACAGUUGGGAAUCAGUUUGACAAGUAGCGGCGAUUACAAGCCCAUUUUGUUUUUAGGUAUUGCGUUAAACAAAAUGGAAAAUAAGAGCAAAACACAACAAUGCUUCUCUACAUCCUAAUCUAAAAUUAAGACAACAUUUCAGCCACAGCAUGCCUUCCUCAGGUACUGGCUCUUGCUAUGUUUUUACUGAACAUUUCAACAAAGAUUUAACAAUAUAAUUGGCACAUACAAAUAAUUCUGGUGCCAGAAUGACAACAAAUGUGUAGCAGUGUCAUGGUUUUGGUUCUUUGUCUUGUUAUUUCCUGUUUUAUUUUGUAAUAUUCUCCAUCCCUUUUGUGUCUGGUAGUUUUGCUUCCUGUCUUUGAUUGCUUUCAUUGUUUUCACCUGUGUCUCGUUGUCUCCUCUACCUGCGUGUAUUUAAGUCUGUGUCCUUCUUUUGUUCUGUUGUCAGUCCGUCGUUGCACCUCUGUUAAGUGCCCUGGUUUGUUGUUUCCCUGUACUUUGCAUGUUUUUGGCUUUUGUUUCUUCUGUUUGAGUCUGCUCACCUGCUGUGAGCUACCUGCCUUCUCCAAUGUAAGCUUUUUGUUAAUAGUCAUCUGCACAAGCUCUGCCUGUUAGUCUGUGUUUGGGUCCCGUUCCCUCGUAUUCCCUGUUUCCCAGCUUGACUAAUUACAAUGAGCAGUCAAAAUGGCUCAUUAAAUAAUGUGAAGGAAUCUGAAGAGAAAUGCUCAAUAAAGCUCACUAGAAACCACCAAAGUCUAAUCAUCUGUUAUUUGGUGCUUUCACAGCCAAGCUGUACUGAAUAGAUGAGUUGUAUCUGUGCUGGGUGAAAGGUCACAAGGUCAACAAAAUCAAUAGGUUUCGUGCUGUUGGGAGAAAAUAUUGUGUUUGUGACAAAGGCCAGAAGAUAUGUUCAUCUGAAAAGUGAAAAAUUGGACUGAGGGUGGUACUACAAGAAAGAUUUUUUUUUUUUUUUUUUUUUUUUUUUGCUGAGAACCUGAAUGUAUUCAGCAAAUUCCAUAUUGCUAAAAGUAUAUCAUGUAAUGGACAGUCAGACAGUGGAUGUUGAUCUUACCGGAGGUACAACAGGUUAAAUGGUGGAGUUAAUCCUUAAUAUUGAAUUCCUUCAUUCAGUCGUUGCAUUUGUAUAAAGACUUCACUUGGUAAUUUAGUCUUUUAAGUCUUGCUGUUUUCCACAUAUAUGCACUCCACGCUGGGAUGUGAAAGUCUUAUUUUACUGAGGGGAUGUAGGAAAAACACUGGUCUGUGGUCUCUGAAGUAGCCACUCUGGGUGCUUUUGAAAAUAUUUACUGUUCACUGUUAUCCUGUAAGGGGAUGUAAUCCUGUAAAAGGGCUUUUACACUAACAAUAGCAAAGUGGCAAAAAAACCCCACAGGCUUCCCCAUUCAUUUCAAUGAGGAUGAAUUGGUGCAGCAAUGGGUCCCAUUGCAGAUGUUUCUGCAUUGGCCAAAAGUAUUUGAAAGCACAAAUACAUGGUAGAACAUUUUAGUGGGUACCUUGUAGCAGUGUGGUAAUAUGUGUGAGGAAGAGGGCAAGCUACAGCACAUUAUGUCUUUUGUAAAUAGUCUAGAUAGCCUUACAGCCGACAUGAAUAAUGUGCUAAAUCCGGUGUUAACAUCAUAGACAGCAGCUGAAUCAUUCAGUUACAGGAUGCACUGCUUUCAUUUGAAUCAUGUUGUCACCUUGAAUAUCUUCUGCUUUGCUUAUGAUCUUUUGGCAUUAAAGGCCUGAUAUAGUGGUCUUCAAAUUCUCCAUUUUCUUUGCAGUCAAAUGUGGUGCCAAUAAAAAUCUACUUUCUAUCAAUGUAUGUAAGGAUCAAAGUUGAAUUUAAGUUUAAACUUUGGGAGCAAUACCACACAGGAUAUCAAGGCCUCUUUUGCUCACACAGUUGUUUAGCCAUGUUCUCCAUUGAAAACAAUGGCUGUCUCAUGCCCUGCUUGCGUGCUUGGUGCGAAAGGUUUAGGACGGCUAAUGUACCGUUCUGUCCAAUUUUCUGUGGUUGAAGUUUGAGUUUGUGUGGGUGGCAAACUAUUCAUCGUCUGUUUAGCCAUGAUGACUAUUACUGCUUGUGCUAGCUGGACAGUUCUUUUACUAAUUAUAAAUCAACUAGAUCACCAUCUCAACAAGGUAAAAGAAAUUCAAGAUUUAUUCAGUUAUAGUAGAAAAGAGCAGAGGUACAGUGUGAUGUAAUUUCAAAUGAAUAACAACAGGGAUCUUGUUUGUAGCUAGCCACGUUAGCCACGUUUGGUUUGUAACCAAAUGAACUUCUUUAACCAACUAGCCAAACAGUGAUUGUAUACUGAUUAAUUUUAAAAACACUGCUAUGCUAAAAUUCUGAUUCAGAAGUGUUAGGUUAGCAUACAAUCUCUAAAAAGUAACAUUUGCUGCUAGCUGUGUAGGAGUCACGUUCAAUUAGUGUCAUGUCAGUUUUGAGAAAACUGUUAUUGUAUUGUAUGAAAUCCACAGUUCUGACUUAUAAUUGAAUCCAUCCAGGUACACCAUUUCCACAGGCAAGUGUUUUCCAUCUCAUGGCUGCCAGAUGAUUUCUAAAGGGGGCUGACACCUCUAACAACAUGUCAGCAGUGCCAACCCAGAUACCACUGGAAAGAGGCAGGAAGGACAUGCUUUCCAAUGGCUGCUUGUGGGGGCCUGUCAGGUAGUUAAGUCCUCAAUUCCAGUCUCCCUCCCUCCCCAGGCUGUGUUGACAUCUCCCUGGCUGGUCUCCCUCUGUGCCUAAACUGAGUGGAUGUCUGCCGUUGGUGGAUGCUUGCAGGCUGUGCGGCCCCAGAGCCCUCAUAAACAGGAGUCUAAUGGCGUCCCUUGGCUGCUGAGGGGCCUCACAUUAAGAUAAUUAAGCAGAGGGUGCAGGAAUGAGGCCCUGGAGAGGAGAAGGAGACACUUCUGCACUUUCUGAGAAUCUGAGCCUGUGACUUUCUGUUUUUGCCUUAUUGCUCACUGUAGACUGAUUUACGCAUUUAGUUUAUUCUUAUGGUAAGAACGAUGCAAGAGCUUGUGUGGCACCACAUAACUGCACCAAGAUGUCCGAAAACGUGGGAAAGCAAUGUGAUUUGUUGAUGGGAUAUCCAAACAAACUAAACCACUUUUAAUGCAAGGUGUUAUGAUGAGACAGAUGAUGAUGUCUGACAGCUAGCAGGCAAGGUGAAUUGUGCCAAAGAGUGCAGAGAAGUAUCUUAUGUGUAGCUAAAGUUACAAUAUGUGGACUGAAAUCUGAUUAGUUUAGUCUCUCAGUUUAGCAUUUAUUUCUCCACUGGCCAUUUGACAGGGCAUUAGGGUCUCAACAACAAAUUUUUUUCUGUGUUUGGUGGCAAUUUUGAAAGUUAUAGUUCAUUAAGAACAUAUUAAGACUUAAAGCAAAGCAUCUUUUGGGGCAUGUUUGUCUUGACUGACAGGUGUCUCAGAUAGAAACUCUCAUUCGGGGUGGUUGUGGCUAGCUUACUUCGCCUAAAGUCUCCACUUUGUUGCCCUAAUAUGAAUUUUCUUUGUACAAUCAACUGUCAAGAUGGCGGCAAGUGCUAAAGCCAAAUUCAGGCUUCCAAACGCCCUCUCAGAAACCUCACAGACAACACAGCUAUGUUUUUUUUAAAGGAAUAGUUCGACAUUUUGGGAAAUGGGUUUAUUUGCUUUCUUGCCAAGAGUUAGAUGAGAGGAAUGAUAUCACUCUCAUGUCUGUAUGUAAAAAUGAAGCUAGACUCCAGACUUCCAGACUUUAUGCUAAGCUAAGCUAACCGUCUGCUGGCUUCAUAUUUAGCGUACAGAUAUGGAAGGGGUUUCUAUCUUCUCAUCUAUCUCUUGGCAAGAAAGUGAAUAAGCAUAUUUACCAAAAUGUCAAGCUAUUCCUUUAAGUGUAUGUAUGAAAAUGGCCAAUAAAUUUGUUUCUACAUUGCUUGUGUGACUUUUGUGUGCGCGAUUUCUUUGUAAAUAGGCAGUGUGAACGAAGUAAAUCAAUAAAACAA